CCUACGGGAGGCAGCAGUGAGGAAUAUUGGUCAAUGGGCGGAAGCCUGAACCAGCCAAGUCGCGUGAGGGAAUAAGGCCCUACGGGUCGUAAACCUCUUUUGCCGGGGAGCAAGGGCGGGGACGUGUCCCGGCCCGGAGAGUACCCGGAGAAAAAGCAUCGGCUAACUCCGUGCCAGCAGCCGCGGUAAUACGGAGGAUGCGAGGGUUAUCCGGAUUUCUUGGGUUUAAAGGGUGCUUAGGCGGGCUUUUAAGUCAGCGGGAAAAAUGCGGGGCUCAACCCCGUCCGGCCGUUGAAACUGGGGGCCUUGAGUGGGCGAGAAGAAGGCGGAAUGCGUGGUGUAGCGGUGAAAUGCAUAGAUAUCACGCAGAACCCCGAUUGCGAAGGCAGCCUUCUGGCGCCCUACUGACGCUGAGGCACGAAAGUGCGGGGAUCGAACAGGAUUAGAUACCCGAGUAGUC
RNAcentral lists this ribosomal RNA (460 nucleotides) under uncultured bacterium. RNAcentral's name for it is "partial 16S ribosomal RNA". It matches the Rfam family "Bacterial small subunit ribosomal RNA", at positions 338 to 795 of the family's 1533-position model. The record is from RNAcentral.